RNAcentral lists this ribosomal RNA (313 nucleotides) under Fuligo muscorum. RNAcentral's name for it is "SSU rRNA". It matches the Rfam family "Bacterial small subunit ribosomal RNA", at positions 584 to 866 of the family's 1533-position model. The record is from RNAcentral. Lineage: Eukaryota; Evosea; Eumycetozoa; Physariida; Physaraceae.
CCAGUAUGAAGUACAAGACUAACGGAAUAACCUUUUUGAUUCUUUAUCUACUACUUUCCUUGAGUUUAGAGGCGAUGAGUUGAAUUCUUGUAGGAAGGGUGAAAUCUGUUGAUAGCUGGAAGACGUUCAAAGGCGAAGGCGACAUCGACCUAGAUCUGACGCUGAGGCACGAAAGCAUGGGUAUAAAGAAGAUUAGAGACCUUCGUAGUCCAUGCUUAAACUAUGAGUGUUCAACGUCCUUAUUUUAAGUAAACUAUACUUUACUGAAUUGUUUAUAGGAAUUUAAGGGGGUUUGAAGUUAACGCGCGAAACA